CUGCCUUUGAAACUACAUGACUAGAAUCUUGGAGAGGUCAGUGGAAUUCCGAGUUAGAGGUGAAAUUCGUAGAUAUUCGGAAGAACACCAGUGGCGAAGGCGACUGACUGGACAAGUAUUGACGCUAAAGUGCGAAAGCGUGGGGAGCAAACAGGAUUAGAUACCCUGGUAGUCCACGCCGUAAACGAUGAUAACUAGCUGUUCGGGCACUUGGUGCUUGAGUGGCGCAGCUAACGCAUUAAGUUAUCCGCCUGGGGAGUACGGUCGCAAGAUUAAAACUCAAAGGAAUUGACGGGGGCCU
RNAcentral lists this ribosomal RNA (301 nucleotides) under uncultured bacterium. RNAcentral's name for it is "bacterial SSU rRNA". It matches the Rfam family "Bacterial small subunit ribosomal RNA", at positions 621 to 922 of the family's 1533-position model. The record is from RNAcentral.